This 408-nucleotide long non-coding RNA is filed under the name Trifolium pratense (red clover). RNAcentral's name for it is "long non-coding RNA (TPRA_LNC006730)". The record is from RNAcentral. Lineage: Eukaryota; Viridiplantae; Streptophyta; Magnoliopsida; Fabales; Fabaceae.
CUAGAGCACUUGUUUCUUGUUUAGGUUUACCAAAAAUUCGGGUAAACAUGGUUGCCGAUUAUUAGAAGAAGAUGUUGAAACACCGAUUCGAGAAUUGUUGACCUGAUCUGAUCGGAACAGCAAAAGAAUUAAUCAAGAUCGAAGUUCUGAAAUUGAAAAAAAGAAAAAAAGAAAGGUGAAGUGAACGAAGUCUGAUUGAUAAAUUAGGGUUUUGAGAGGGAAAGAGAGAGAGAUCUGACAGACCGUAGCGAUAAAAACAAAGAGAGAAUGAAUCCGUAGGAAUGGAAGGAACGCUUGCCCUACACUUCAGAGUUCAGACCAACCAAUUCAUUAUUAUUGUGAUUUUUUUUUUCUUUGAUACGCGCAUAAAUUUACGCGGAUAAAUUUUUCAUUGCCUAAUAUAUGUUU